GCCCCGUUGGCCAAGUGGUAAGGCGUCGCACUCGUAAUGCGAAGAUCACUGGUUCGAUUCCAGUACGGGGCA
Transfer RNA from Fusarium oxysporum f. sp. cubense, 72 nucleotides. It matches the Rfam family "tRNA". Rfam says of the family: Transfer RNA (tRNA) molecules are approximately 80 nucleotides in length. Their secondary structure includes four short double-helical elements and three loops (D, anti-codon, and T loops). NCBI's taxonomy places the organism in Eukaryota, Fungi, Ascomycota, Sordariomycetes, Hypocreales, Nectriaceae. The record is from Rfam.